GCUAAUUUACCGAGAAGAAAAUUGUGGCUUUAUGAAUUGAAAGGAAUAGAAUUGAUUCAUCAAGCAAAAACAAACUUUGGUCGCAAAACAUGUUUAAAUAUGCUCAAAGCAUUUUGUAUUUGAAUAUUGCUUACAAAAAAGUCAUUGCAAUAAAUCUCAAGUUGUUGAAGUCAGUGAACAAAAGUAACAAGAGGAUGUUAGUGUCUUAAACCAACACGAAACAAUAAGUGAACUUAGCUGAAAAUGAUGGUAGUUUAAAAAUAAUGCAGUGUUGGCUAGCAGGCAGGGUUUGCAAAAAACCCAACCCAAAAAAACCCACCUUAAAAAAACCCAAAAAAACUCAAAAUAUAUUUGGGUUUUUUUAAAAAUGACCUAUUUUACAACUGAUAACUCUGAUUUUAACACUUAUAAAUGCUUUAUUAUCAGCAAGUGCAACCUUUAUACUGUAAUUACUCUAGUAAACACUGUAUUUAUAUACAUAAUGGUCUUUAGAAUAUACCCAAAAUUGAUCAAUCUAUUUUUGUAGCAAGUUGGUUAUUUAUUAUUUUUUUAAAACAUUUAGCAAGUUAUUAUAAAUGUUAUUGAAUUAUGUAUUAAAACAUUAAAUUAGUUAAAUACUUAUAAAGGAAAUAAAAAUCAUUCUAUUAACUAAAUUUCAAGACAUUACUAGUUAUUUAGUAUCUUUAUUCUCCUCUCGAAUGUCUAUAUUCCUUUAUAUUGGUAUUUGAUCUUUUAUUUUUUAAAGCUUAUGUUGUAAACUGCAAAAAAAAAAAAAAAAUACAAAGCCACAAGCAAAAUACUAUAUAUAAAAAUUAUUAAACUUUAUUUACAGUUUAGAAAUGAAAAGUUGUCAGGAAAAAAAAAUGCUAGAUUACUAGAUUUGUCCUUAAGUGCAUACAACUUUAAAACUUAAAAAAAAUUAAGUUAUGUGCUAGCAAGCUUGCAACAUGUUUGCUCAUUCAAUGAGAGAACAUGUUGAAAACUUGUAUGCAUUUCACAAGGACAAGAUUUGUUGGUACAAAUGACACUCGUGCUCAUCUGUCUUUUGACAUGUUUUGAAUAUUUUGCAUCAGCUACAAGUUUACAACAUGUACCACCAACAAGGGUGACUAUGAACAGCGGGUUGAAAAUUAACAUCAGUAUCAAGUUGCUAAAAGGUGAAGAAACACACACACAAUAGAGCUAUAUAAUGUGUUGCUUUGAUUCAGUUUGCAAUUUGCAUUGCAAAACUGAGCCGGUAAAUCAUCUUCAAGGAAAAAAAAAAACUUGGUGGCGAAGACACUGUAAUGGUUCUUAACAAAUUUACUUUAUAUAUAUUUAGAAACAAAGUUUAGGCAAAAAUCCAUUUUUUACCAGUCCAGUUGAUCAGGCCGAUAACUUUUCCAGGAAGCUGGACAGUAUAAUGUUCUGA
This is a long non-coding RNA of Hydra vulgaris (swiftwater hydra), 1411 nucleotides long. RefSeq lists it as uncharacterized. Lineage: Eukaryota; Metazoa; Cnidaria; Hydrozoa; Anthoathecata; Hydridae. The record is from RefSeq and is a predicted model, not a curated record.